Molecule: long non-coding RNA, 852 nt
Organism: Thunnus maccoyii (southern bluefin tuna)
Lineage: Eukaryota; Metazoa; Chordata; Actinopteri; Scombriformes; Scombridae
Exons: 4
Source: RefSeq, a predicted model, not a curated record
UUUUAGCCAUUAUCUAUCUAAGAUUAACUAUGGAGCUGUGAUGUUCACAUCUGGUGUUAUAAAAUAUUUAACAGAACAAUACAAAUUUAGGCAUAAAUAGGUCAAGUUUGGCCUCAACAUUAAAGGGCUGUCAUUAAUAACUUCCCAUUCCCUUUCCUGGAGCACUAUUAAAGUAUAUUAUUGGAGAAGGGUGACAGGUGCCAGUAAACUCCUACUGUCGGUCCAUCAACCACCUCAACUCCUGGUGCAGAAGGUGGUCAUAUCACCCAAGAAGCUGACAGUGUUGAGAUUUCAGCCAGCUUUAAGUCGACAACGUCCAUCGCCUGCAUCCUCAAGGAGCCCGAUGAACUGAGCCGGAACAGCAGUGCCUUGCCUUCGUCCAUCUACUCUGAUAUGAUGAUGAGAGGAGAAAACAUCUCCCUGAGCUUCAAGAGCUUCAGAGUCCUGCUCUGCUGCUCUACAUCAACACGUUCUACAGAGAGUACCUGGCCCUGCUCAUCAAUAAACAUGUGCUUUCAUGGUGCCAUGUUGCGUGCCCCACCACCCCUCCAUCACUGCCCAGUCUUCGCAGAUUAUCAGUGCAUCACCUCAUCAACCUCAUCAGCCUUAUCAGUCUCAACAGAAGACAUUAGCCACCAUCACCACCACCAGUGUCUGGACUCCAUGGGGGGAUUUAUCUUGCUGCUGCUCAGGACUGAUGUCCCUCGAUUCAAAAUCUCCCUGUAGAGUUUAAGUGCCGAAAACGUUUGACCACUCUUAAUCAUCAAUGUCAUCUAUAUAAUAAACAAUUCUUUUUGCUUUAUUCACUUGUUUCUCCUGAUUGAAAUAAAAUAAAAAUAUCUGGAGGUAUGC